CGGAAGCCUGAUCCAGCAACGCCGCGUGAGGGAUGACGGCCUUCGGGUUGUAAACCUCUUCAGUACCGACGAAGCGAAAGUGACGGUAGGUACAGAAGAAGCACCGGCCAACUACGUGCCAGCAGCCGCGGUAAUACGUAGGGUGCGAGCGUUGUCCGGAAUUAUUGGGCGUAAAGGGGCUCGUAGGCGGUUUGUCGCGUCGGGAGUGAAAACACUGGGCUUAACUCAGUGCUUGCUUCCGAUACGGGCAGACUAGAGGUAUGCAGGGGAGAACGGAAUUCCUGGUGUAGCGGUGAAAUGCGCAGAUAUCAGGAGGAACACCGGUGGCGAAGGCGGUUCUCUGGGCAUUACCUGACGCUGAGGAGCGAAAGUGCGGGGAGCGAACAGGAUUAGAUACCCUGGUAGUCCACACCGUAAACGUUGGGCGCUAGGUGUGGGGUCCAUUCCACGGAUUCCGUGCCGCAGCUAACGCAUUAAGCGCCCCGCCUGGGGAGUACGGCCGCAAGGCUA
This 510-nucleotide ribosomal RNA is filed under the name uncultured Actinomycetes bacterium. Its description in RNAcentral is "bacterial SSU rRNA". It matches the Rfam family "Bacterial small subunit ribosomal RNA", at positions 376 to 896 of the family's 1533-position model. Lineage: Bacteria; Bacillati; Actinomycetota; Actinomycetes. The record is from RNAcentral.